GAGACAGACGCUCCCAGGUGUUCUGUAUUCAGGUCACCUCUGGGUGCAGGGUGGCUGCUGCUCCCCUGGGCUCUGUGUCCCAGGUCCUGCGAUGCCUGACAAAGGCUGCAGCCAGAUCACUGGGGCACAUGCGAGGAGGAAACAGAAUGGACAGGCCGCAACAUGCCAAGCCACUAAAAGGAUUGACGCUUUAUUCUUCAGAGGAGAAAUACCAUUGUGGGGUCUACGGACCUCUAUCUAAGGCUUGUUAAAACAAAACAGAGAUGCUUAUGCUCUGGAAAGACGCCCGGGAUCCACUGGGCAGAAUGGCAAAGGAAAGAUCCCCAGCACGGAGCUCAGACAGAUGUCCUCGGCGGAGCUGAGUGCGGGGGUACAGGGUGUGGGGGUGCAUCAGUUGUGCUCUGACAGGUGCACAGGGUCCCCUUUCCCUUUGGCACCUCGGCUGCCUGUGCUUCUGGACCAACUGCCUGUUGAGAAAGCCUCUCUGUGUCCAGAAGUGAACUAUGAAAGGCCCUGAGUGGAUGGACUAUAUGCAAGGCACAGGAAGGAGGCCAAGCCCUCAGGAGUGGCAUCCAUGUGCAUUUGGGGCAGAGUGACGACUGGAAAAGACUGACCACGGCCCAGGCUCCCUGCCUUUCAGCUGCCAGUCUGCUGGGAAGUCACUUCCAUGAGGGUGGGGAGAGGUGAUGGCUAUUGACACCCAAGUUACACCUACCAAUGACCCAGUGGCUUCGGGCCUCACAGGCAGUGAGUGGACAUCUAGGCACCUGGAAUGCACCUCUAGGGCUCUGUGCCCGGGCUCUGAACAAGGAGAGAAGCCGCCGGCCCUCCUCCUGACCACUUCACCUCCGGCAGGAGACUAAUGAUGCACCUAAGUUAAUUCACUCGACUCUGGGACUAUGAGGCAGUUCAUCCACACGCUCCAAACUCCAGCUUAUUGUAGGAGACCAGUGCCUCGAUCUCAUGAGGUCAUCUCGACGCCUCAGCUGUAACCCUUGGAGAACCUGUGGUCUCUGCUCCUCUGCCUGCUGACAUGAUCAUCCCAGGUGCAAAACAGGGAAUGUUGCAGGUUUGUUUCCUGUUCCUUCUCCACGUGCUGUGUGCCAAGCACAGAAAGCCUCAGUGACCAGCUACUGAAUUAACCAGAAUAUGAAUGAGAAGAAUGACAUUGGAGAAACAGCAGUGUGGCAGUUGGGGCACGGGAAGCAGUCCUGACCCCACUCUUAACUAGCCAUGCGCAAGUCCUGGGCCCUGGCUUCCUCAACACUGAGGCAGCAAAAGCAGAUUCAACAGUCACCACAACCCCUGUCGUGGCAGCAUUCUCUUUUCCUCACAUGGACAGAUGCUCACGUCGGUGACGAAGGCACUGAGGUGCCAAAGAGCUUCCCAGAACAUCAAGGGAAGACUGACUGACAGCUGGUAGAAUAAGUGACAAAUAUCCCUUUUCUUGGAAGACAAUUUAUGCGUGCUGAAGUGGGAGAAAUGUAUUACUAUGAACGCUGUCUUACUCAACUCUGUUGCAUAGCUCAGAAUUCAGUACAGGUAGAUUUAAAAUAGUCUUACAUACAGAGCAGUUUAAAAAGUAUUGUGGAUUUCUGAGUGUCCAGGUUGGAUCCUUGACACUUAAGCACAUCCACUUCUGUUAUGGCUCCCUCUGGCUACAUAAGCUUUGGUGAUUUCUUAAUGACCAAGUGAGUAGCUUGUAAGCAAGGCUGAGAAACAGGAAGAAGUCCUCUUUGGCCAUCUGGUAUAUUGAUUCAAGUGAACACCACUCACUGGUCACCUGCGGACCAGAUGUGGCCUGCAGGUGUUUCAUUUCGCCAAAAGAAAUAUUUUUCAAAUUGUAAUGGGUUGUCAACAUUUAAAAAUCAUAUUUUUAUAUGGAAAUAUGGAUUUAGUACUUCUGCUGAAAUACUGGAAGAACUGGCAAUCUAACAAUUUCUGAAUGGCAAUGACUGACCAGAGCUGAGUCACAACGGUUCCUGUCAGAGACCGGGGGUUCUCUCCAGUGGCCUCCGUUAUAUGACACAAAGAGGGGUUCACUCAUUUCCAUUCCUUUCUGGCUGCAGUGGGCACCUGCGUUUGCCACCUUUCUCUUAAACAACAAGGAAUUGCUGAAGCAGAAAUGCACAGCCAGGGAAGCAGCUGAUUUUCUCUCAUCUUUUUCCUCCUCAUUAGCAUCAAUAAUUAAGUUUGGGACUGAUUCUUUUUAUGUCUUCAUAGCUAAAGUAAAAACUUUUGUUAGGAGCUAGUAGAUACUUCCCACCUCUUCUAAUUCAUUUUACUAAGCAUUAAGAUAACAUUCCUGGAUGGGCACGGUGGCUCCCACCUGUAAUCCCAGCACUCUGGGAGGCUGAGGCAGGU
Molecule: long non-coding RNA, 2364 nt
Filed under: Homo sapiens (human)
Lineage: Eukaryota; Metazoa; Chordata; Mammalia; Primates; Hominidae
Description: HSALNT0131136
Source: RNAcentral